UACGAAGGGUGCAAGCGUUAAUCGGAAUUACUGGGCGUAAAGCGUGCGUAGGCGGUUCGUUAAGUCUGCUGUGAAAGCCCUGGGCUCAACCUGGGAACUGCAGUGGAUACUGGCGGACUAGAGUGUGAUAGAGGAUGGUGGAAUUCCCGGUGUAGCGGUGAAAUGCGUAGAGAUCGGGAGGAACACCAGUGGCGAAGGCGGCCAUCUGGAUCAACACUGACGCUGAGGCACGAAAGCGUGGGGAGCAAACAGG
RNAcentral lists this ribosomal RNA (253 nucleotides) under uncultured bacterium. RNAcentral describes it as "partial 16S ribosomal RNA". It matches the Rfam family "Bacterial small subunit ribosomal RNA", at positions 524 to 776 of the family's 1533-position model. The record is from RNAcentral.